UACAGAGGGUGCAAGCGUUGUUCGGAAUUAUUGGGCGUAAAGCGCGUGUAGGCGGCUUUGCAAGUCGGGUGUGAAAGCCCUCAGCUCAACUGAGGAAGUGCGCCCGAAACUGCAGAGCUUGAGUACCGGAGAGGGUGGCGGAAUUCCCCAAGUAGAGGUGAAAUUCGUAGAUAUGGGGAGGAACACCGGUGGCGAAGGCGGCAUCCUGGACCGACACUGACGCUGAUGAGCGAAAGCCAGGGGAGCAAACGGG
This 253-nucleotide ribosomal RNA is filed under the name uncultured bacterium. RNAcentral's name for it is "partial 16S ribosomal RNA". It matches the Rfam family "Bacterial small subunit ribosomal RNA", at positions 524 to 776 of the family's 1533-position model. The record is from RNAcentral.